GAUGAACGCUGGCGGCGUGCCUAAUACAUGCAAGUCGAGCGAACAGACGAGGAGCUUGCUCCUCUGAUGUUAGCGGCGGACGGGUGAGUAACACGUGGAUAACCUACCUAUAAGACUGGGAUAACUUCGGGAAACCGGAGCUAAUACCGGAUAACAUGUUGAACCGCAUGGUUCAACAGUGAAAGACGGUCUUGCUGUCACUUAUAGAUAGAUCCGCGCCGCAUUAGCUAGUUGGUAAGGUAACGGCUUACCAAGGCAACGAUGCGUAGCCGACCUGAGAGGGUGAUCGGCCACACUGGAACUGAGACACGGUCUAGACUCCUACGGGAGGCAGCAGUAGGGAAUCUUCCGCAAUGGGCGAAAGCCUGACGGAGCAACGCCGCGUGAGUGAAGAAGGUCUUCGGAUCGUAAAACUCUGUUAUUAGGGAAGAACAAAUGUGUAAGUAACUAUGCACGUCUUGACGGUACCUAAUCAGAAAGCCACGGCUAACUACGUG
This 497-nucleotide ribosomal RNA is filed under the name uncultured bacterium. RNAcentral's name for it is "partial 16S ribosomal RNA". It matches the Rfam family "Bacterial small subunit ribosomal RNA", at positions 28 to 507 of the family's 1533-position model. The record is from RNAcentral.